AGAAAUACCGGCAGGGGAGACACCGUGAUCACGAAGGUGGUUUUCCCAGGGCGAGGCUCACCCGGUGCACUGCGGGUGUGCUGACCCUGCGAUUUCCCCAAAUGCGGGAACCUCGACUGCAUACUUUGUGGGGGACUGCGUUCGCGCUCUCCCCUA
Small nuclear RNA from Echinops telfairi (small Madagascar hedgehog), 156 nucleotides. Its record names the gene U1. It matches the Rfam family "U1 spliceosomal RNA". From Rfam's summary of the family: U1 is a small nuclear RNA (snRNA) component of the spliceosome (involved in pre-mRNA splicing). Its 5' end forms complementary base pairs with the 5' splice junction, thus defining the 5' donor site of an intron. There are significant differences in sequence and secondary structure between metazoan and yeast U1 snRNAs, the latter being much longer (568 nucleotides as compared to 164 nucleotides in human). The record is from Ensembl. Lineage: Eukaryota; Metazoa; Chordata; Mammalia; Afrosoricida; Tenrecidae.